UGAUGUUCCAGGAAGGAUUAGCCAAAUGGCAAAUGAUUUAGGUAAGCUAGAAAAAUGGUCAGAAUUGUGGCAACUGACAUUUAAUGUGGAUAAGUGCAAGAUAAUGCAUCUUGGACGUAAAAACCCAAGGGCAGAGUACAGAAUAUUUGUUAGAGUCCUAACCUCAACAUAUGAAGAAAGGGACUUAGGGGUGAUUAUUUCUGAUGACUUAAAG
RNAcentral lists this long non-coding RNA (214 nucleotides) under Pelobates cultripes (western spadefoot toad). Lineage: Eukaryota; Metazoa; Chordata; Amphibia; Anura; Pelobatidae. The record is from RNAcentral.